AAAUCUGGUUCUGUGCUUUUAAAAAUAACUCGGCGUGAGCCACAAUUGGGAGCAUUCACAGAAGAAAUUCUUCAGCCAUUUAAAACAAAGUGAAGGGAGGGGAAAAAAAAAAAAAAGCUCAAAGUGCUUUUACUUAUCCAUGAAGAGUGAGUGGUGAAGAGUGAGUGUGUCCCAGCCGUGUCUCCACUGCCUGGAUGGAGCACAGAGGUUCUGCUCCUGCCCCUGUUUGCUUCCAGCCCCCCAGGAUUUGGGGUUCGGUGCUGUCCCAGCUGGGCACGCUGGAUGAAUCCUCCUGGGAUGUUGGAUUUCCUGUGGAUCAGCACCUCGGCACAGGCUCCAGACAGAUGAGUAGAGAGCUGGCUGCAGAAGAGGGACAGAUUCCAGCUUGCCAGCUGCUCACCGUGUGCAGUGAGUACCUUCAUAUUUCAGGAAUAAAACUUUCUGUGGUGCCUGAUGUCAGCCUCAAACUGCCUCCAUUGGGGCACAGCAUUAAGUCUGCAUGCUUGGACAGUGUUCUCCUAAAAGUACAAGCUUCCUUGGCUUAACUCUUGUUUUGGGAGAAGCUGUGCUCCAGUUUUACCUAAAGUGGUAAAUUGUGUCCUCAUCCCACUUGCAGUAGUGGCAGAGCAGAGAACGGCUGCAGUUCUGCUCAGGGCUGUGGGGAAUCAGCUCUAAAGGUGUCACCUGAGGCUUCCUGUGUGGAUCAGGAGUGGAAAUGCUCCCCAGAGCUCUUCCAGCCUUGUUGGAGGUGCUGGAGCUGAGUGAGGAGGGUGCAUGAGGUUCCUGCCACGGCACAUGCCGGCGUUGCUCAUGAAUGAGUGCUGUGAAAUCAGCCCAAAUGAGGCUUGGCUGGACUGGUGGGUGGAAAACAGCAGGAAUAAACCACUGGAAAGCAUUGGCCA
This 902-nucleotide long non-coding RNA is filed under the name Junco hyemalis (dark-eyed junco). RNAcentral's name for it is "lncRNA (ENSJHYG00000008036.1)". Lineage: Eukaryota; Metazoa; Chordata; Aves; Passeriformes; Passerellidae. The record is from RNAcentral.